Molecule: ribosomal RNA, 247 nt
Filed under: uncultured Hydrogenophaga sp.
Lineage: Bacteria; Pseudomonadati; Pseudomonadota; Betaproteobacteria; Burkholderiales; Comamonadaceae
Description: partial 16S ribosomal RNA
Rfam family: Bacterial small subunit ribosomal RNA
Source: RNAcentral
GUAGGGUGCGAGCGUUAAUCGGAAUUACUGGGCGUAAAGCGUGCGCAGGCGGUUUUGUAAGACAGGCGUGAAAUCCCCGGGCUCAACCUGGGAAUGGCGCUUGUGACUGCAAAGCUGGAGUGCGGCAGAGGGGGAUGGAAUUCCGCGUGUAGCAGUGAAAUGCGUAGAUAUGCGGAGGAACACCGAUGGCGAAGGCAAUCCCCUGGGCCUGCACUGACGCUCAUGCACGAAAGCGUGGGGAGCAAAC